CCUACGGGGUGCUGCAGUGGGGAAUAUUGGACAAUGGGCGAAAGCCUGAUCCAGCCAUGCCGCGUGUGUGAAGAAGGCCUUCGGGUUGUAAAGCACUUUCAGUGGGGAAGAAAGCCUUGGGGCUAAUACCCUCGAGGAAGGACAUCACCCACAGAAGAAGCACCGGCUAACUCCGUGCCAGCAGCCGCGGUAAUACGGAGGGUGCGAGCGUUAAUCGGAAUUACUGGGCGUAAAGCGCGCGUAGGCGGUCUGAUAAGCCGGUUGUGAAAGCCCCGGGCUCAACCUGGGAACGGCAUCCGGAACUGUCAGGCUAGAGUGCAGGAGAGGAAGGUAGAAUUCUCGGUGUAGCGGUGAAAUGCGUAGAGAUCGGGAGGAAUACCAGUGGCGAAGGCGGCCUUCUGGACUGACACUGACGCUGAGGUGCGAAAGCGUGGGUAGCAAACAGGAUUAGAUACCCUGUAGUC
RNAcentral lists this ribosomal RNA (464 nucleotides) under Vreelandella stevensii. Its description in RNAcentral is "partial 16S ribosomal RNA". It matches the Rfam family "Bacterial small subunit ribosomal RNA", at positions 338 to 795 of the family's 1533-position model. Lineage: Bacteria; Pseudomonadati; Pseudomonadota; Gammaproteobacteria; Oceanospirillales; Halomonadaceae. The record is from RNAcentral.